GGGGGGGGGGGGGUGAUCUUUAUUAAGUGUCUUGAGUUCCGAGUUUUAAUCUUUAGGGAACUUUUUAGGCGCACUCACUAUUUUUACUGAUACUGUCUCUAAUUCAUUUUAUUUAACUUGUCCUGUUAAUGUACAUAGACCAACCAUCUAUAUGAUUUAAUGCUUCAUAAUGUUUUGUUAAAAAAAAUUAUUUUAUGAAUACAUAUACAAGAAAAGAUGUCUCAACUAAUGCCACAGCUACAAGAGUAAUAAAACUCAUGUUAAAACAUGGUGGACGUCUAAUUGUUGCAUGGACUAAUUGUUGCAUGGACUUUAAAAGAAGCAUAGACGUCUUUUUUUGGCAUGUAUGUCUUGUUGAUAUCAUAGUUAUCAUUGUUAGUGAUUAAUAAUAUGACUACUUAUGACUCUAUAAUUAUGUAUAUUAUAUCUAGUUUAUCAAGUUAGGAAAGAUAUUUCAUAUUCCAAUUUUAUAUUUCAUUGCUUCACGCUCUUUUUAACAAAUAAUUGUUUAUUUCAAUAUUAUUAUAACUGUAAUGUAUUUAAUUAUCAUAACUUUAUUAACGUCUAAAUUAUAGCACAAUAAAACAAUAGA
Biomphalaria pfeifferi is the source of this 592-nucleotide non-coding RNA. NCBI's taxonomy places the organism in Eukaryota, Metazoa, Mollusca, Gastropoda, Planorbidae. The record is from the annotation of a GenBank genome assembly.